This is a non-coding RNA of Gnomoniopsis smithogilvyi, 99 nucleotides long. The record is from the annotation of a GenBank genome assembly. Lineage: Eukaryota; Fungi; Ascomycota; Sordariomycetes; Diaporthales; Gnomoniaceae.
GUCCUGGUGGUCUAGGGGUAUGAUUCAUCCUUAGGGUUAAUAACAGAAUACUGUUAUCCUGUCUGGAUGAGGUCCCGCGUUCAAAUCGCGGCCAGGACC